Molecule: ribosomal RNA, 484 nt
Filed under: uncultured bacterium
Lineage: Bacteria
Description: partial 16S ribosomal RNA
Rfam family: Bacterial small subunit ribosomal RNA
Source: RNAcentral
AUUGAACGCUGGCGGCAGGCCUAACACAUGCAAGUCGAGCGGAUGAAGGGAGCUUGCGCCUGGAUUCAGCGGCGGACGGGUGAGUAAUGCCUAGGAAUCUGCCUGGUAGGGGGGGAUAACGUCCGGAGACGGGCGCUAAUACCGCAUACGUCCUGAGGGAGAAAGUGGGGGAUCUUCGGACCUCACGCUAGCAGGUGAGCCUAGGUCGGGUUAGCUAGUUGGUGGGGUAAAGGCCUACCAAGGCGACGAUCCGUAACUGGUCUGAGAGGAUGAUCAGUCACACUGGAACUGAGACACGGUCAAGACUCCUACGGGAGGCAGCAGUGGGGAAUAUUGGACAAUGGGCGAAAGUAUGAUACAGCCAUGCCGAGUGUGUGAAGAAGGUCUUCGGAUUGUAAAGCCCUUUAAGUUGGGAGGAAGGGCAGUAAGUUAAUACCUUGCUGUUUUGACGUUACCAACAGAAUAAGCACCGGCUAACUUCGUG